This 481-nucleotide ribosomal RNA is filed under the name uncultured bacterium. RNAcentral's name for it is "partial 16S ribosomal RNA". It matches the Rfam family "Bacterial small subunit ribosomal RNA", at positions 30 to 507 of the family's 1533-position model. The record is from RNAcentral.
UUGAACGCUGGCGGCAUGCCUUACACAUGCAAGUCGAACGGUAACAGGUCUUCGGAUGCUGACGAGUGGCGAACGGGUGAGUAAUACAUCGGAACGUGCCCGAUCGUGGGGGAUAACGCAGCGAAAGCUGUGCUAAUACCGCAUACGAUCUACGGAUGAAAGCGGGGGAUCGCAAGACCUCGCGCGGACGGAGCGGCCGAUGGCAGAUUAGGUAGUUGGUGGGAUAAAAGCUUACCAAGCCGACGAUCUGUAGCUGGUCUGAGAGGACGACCAGCCACACUGGGACUGAGACACGGCCCAGACUCCUACGGGAGGCAGCAGUGGGGAAUUUUGGACAAUGGGCGCAAGCCUGAUCCAGCCAUGCCGCGUGCAGGAUGAAGGCCUUCGGGUUGUAAACUGCUUUUGUACGGAACGAAAAAGCUCUCUCUAAUACAGGGGGUGAAUGACGGUACCGUAAGAAUAAGCACCGGCUAACUACGUG